GCCGGUUUCAGUUAUGACCGUGGGGCAACAAUUGAUAUUCCUCUUGAUACAGCUUCAGGAGGAUCACAUAAUCAGAAGAAAGAUAAGGA
Long non-coding RNA from Hibiscus syriacus, 89 nucleotides. RefSeq lists it as uncharacterized. The transcript has 3 exons. Lineage: Eukaryota; Viridiplantae; Streptophyta; Magnoliopsida; Malvales; Malvaceae. The record is from RefSeq and is a predicted model, not a curated record.